Long non-coding RNA from Triticum urartu, 1401 nucleotides. RefSeq lists it as uncharacterized. NCBI's taxonomy places the organism in Eukaryota, Viridiplantae, Streptophyta, Magnoliopsida, Poales, Poaceae. The record is from RefSeq and is a predicted model, not a curated record.
CCUCCACCACCCACCCCUCUCCUCGCUGCCACCCACCUCCGCCACACCUCCCCUCCCCACCCCAGAUCCUCUCCCCACUCACAGAUCCAACUUGCCAUCAUAGAACAAGGAGAUCGUGGCCAAGAUCUUCGGGACGCGGUGGUCGUCGUCGCGGACCGCUCCUCCGCCAACCCGUACAAGUUCCCCGGUGCUAAGGUACCUCGAGGUGUUCGCGCGGCGGUUCGACCCCCUCAGGCUGGUCCGGUUCGGGACGGAGGUGGUGAGCGUCCGUCGCAGCAGGGAAGACGACGUGAGCUGGAGGGUGAGGCUCGCCUGCGCUGGCAGCGAGCUGGAGGAGUAGGUUUGACGCCGUGGUCGUCUGUAGUGGGCACUUCGCCGAGCCGUGCGUGGCCGCCAUCACAGGACAGACGGUUCCUCGGGCAGCGCCAUCGUCGGCAGGGCCGUGGUGCAGGCCUACCGCUAGACCAUCAUCUCUGAGGAACGUCCUGUGGGCUACUUCCAAGCAUGAUGUGUACAUGAUGCAGAACUAUUCUGUGAUGCAUUGGUCGUCCUUACUCCGCAGAGGAAAAUAAGUGCUCAACAUGGCAGGCCCAAAUCAGGAUAUGCAGGGAGGUUGGCCCUUGUCCAGGGGAAGAUCAGCACCAUGACGGUGAAAGACAACCUCUUGGCGGCUGGUGGUUCCAUGGGGAGCUGAUCUGCAAUGUAUCCCACCGCUGAUCCUUAUCCAGAUCAGCUGCAUCGCCGGUUCCGCCGUCUCCGACCGCACUCCCCCGUCUGUGCCGUCGAGUCGGGCCUGCUCACCUCCUUCUUGAUGGUCGCGUGCCGGGAGAGCCCUUUGCCGGCAGUGACGCAGCCAUGUCUGGUGUCGUACAAGAGACGCCAGCGCAGGAUGUUGUCGUCGUCCGUUCCUAACGCCACUGAGUUGAGGCAUGAUGUACAUUGGGUGGUCGUCAAGUCAAGGAACCUCCUCUUCUUGCUGUGGCAGUCCUCCUCCCGCUACUCUGCUCUGCUCAACAGCUAGCGUCCAUGGCUAAAACAAAGGUAAGACUCUGGCCGGUCAUCGGUGUAUUGAGCCAUGGUGGUCUGUUUGUGGGGGUCAUCAACAUUGGUAUAGGUUAGCAUGUGCCCUUCAAUCAGUGCACGAUGAUGAAACACUUCAUUUGAUGAUGACGACUGGUUCCAGAUCUGCACCUCUUGUUUGUUAAUUUGGCUCAUGUAUGUUGUCGUGUCUGCGAAAGAUGCAACCUGAGUGCUUUUAUUGUCCUUAAGUUUAAUAAACGAGGAACAACAUUCAGAUCGUGCUCCAUGGCGCACAUCAGCUGUUGUGUUUGUAAUGUUUGAGUCUGCUCCAUCAUCGAUCUGUAGGCCGCCCGGAUAAUUAAGCUAUAGUAAUUCUCUGCU